Molecule: long non-coding RNA, 538 nt
Filed under: Pan troglodytes (chimpanzee)
Lineage: Eukaryota; Metazoa; Chordata; Mammalia; Primates; Hominidae
Description: long non-coding RNA NONPTRT001673
Source: RNAcentral
CAUUUUGGAGAUUAUCUGUGCUGCCCUUCUCAUAGCAGGCUCAGAGCACCAGGUCCUUGAGGGCAGAACAGUUUCAAAAAAGGGGCCCAAAACACUUGUGAAACCAUGGGGCUUGUUGCUCAGGAUGUCUUGUUUCUUUCCCACACAUUCAGAUACAAUGUUCCUCAGUCACCUCAGGUACAGCUCAUGCAGGCCACCACUUCAGGCCACCACUUUUUGAUAUGCUUUCUGGUAUUAUUCCAUUCUGAGUUUCAAUAACUGAUAAGCUAGUGAUGAAUUUUCAAAUGUUUUACAAGACUGUUACACAUUUUCACUUUCAGAUAUUUAUAUGUUUUUUAGUUUGUGAUUUUUACAUAAUCAGACAAUGACAAAAUUAAAAGAGACUUUUUUUUUUGAGACGGAGUCUCCCUGUUAAUGUUUCUUCUUCCUGCUAUGGGACAUAAUCCCACUAAAACUUCCUCUUUGAAAUACACAUUUAAUCCAAAUCCUCACUUAUCUGAGGACUGCAAUCCACCCAAUCACCCUAACCUACUCUACU